This 497-nucleotide ribosomal RNA is filed under the name uncultured bacterium. RNAcentral describes it as "partial 16S ribosomal RNA". It matches the Rfam family "Bacterial small subunit ribosomal RNA", at positions 28 to 507 of the family's 1533-position model. The record is from RNAcentral.
GACGAACGCUGGCGGCGUGCCUAAUACAUGCAAGUAGAACGCUGAAGAGAGGAGCUUGCUCUUCUUGGAUGAGUUGCGAACGGGUGAGUAACGCGUAGGUAACCUGCCUUGUAGCGGGGGAUAACUAUUGGAAACGAUAGCUAAUACCGCAUAACAAUAGAUGUUGCAUGUUAUUUACUUAAAAGGUGCAAUUGCUCCACUACCAGAUGGACCUGCGUUGUAUUAGCUAGUAGGUGAGGUAACGGCUCACCUAGGCGACGAUACAUAGCCGACCUGAGAGGGUGAUCGGCCACACUGGGACUGAGACACGGCCCAGACUCCUACGGGAGGCAGCAGUAGGGAAUCUUCGGCAAUGGGCGGAAGCCUGACCGAGCAGCGCCGCGUGAGUGAAGAAGGUUUUCGGAUCGUAAAGCUCUGUUGUAAGUGAAGAACGGGUGUGAGAGUGGAAAGUUCACACUGUGACGGUAGCUUACCAGAAAGGGACGGCUAACUACGUG